RNAcentral lists this ribosomal RNA (277 nucleotides) under uncultured bacterium. Its description in RNAcentral is "partial 16S ribosomal RNA". The record is from RNAcentral.
CUGCUGCCUCCCGUAGGAGUCUGGUCCGUGUCUCAGUACCAGUGUGGGGGACCUUCCUCUCAGAACCCCUACGCAUCGUCGCCUCGGUGGGCCGUUACCCCGCCUACUGCCUAAUGCGCCGCAUGCCCAUCCCUGUCCGGCCGAAGCCUUUCCUGCCUCCGGGAUGCCCCGGUGGCAUGUACGCGGGUUUAGCCCGCCUUUCGGCGGGUUGUCCCCCUGACAGGGGCAGGUUGCAUACGUGUUACUCACCCGUGCGCCGGUCGCCGGCGGAGAAACG